This 73-nucleotide transfer RNA is filed under the name Canis lupus familiaris (dog). It matches the Rfam family "tRNA". Rfam says of the family: Transfer RNA (tRNA) molecules are approximately 80 nucleotides in length. Lineage: Eukaryota; Metazoa; Chordata; Mammalia; Carnivora; Canidae. RNAcentral also lists the same sequence under 2 other names. The record is from Rfam by way of RNAcentral.
ACCUGGCUGGCUCAGUUGAUAGAGUAUGUGACUCUUGAUCUUGGGGUUGUGAGUUCAACCCCCGUGUUGGGUG